GGUGAACGCUGGCGGUAGGCCUAACACAUGCAAGUCGAACGGCAGCACAGUAAGAGCUUGCUCUUACGGGUGGCGAGUGGCGGACGGGUGAGGAAUACAUCGGAAUCUACUUUUUCGUGGGGGAUAACGUAGGGAAACUUACGCUAAUACCGCAUACGACCUACGGGUGAAAGCAGGGGAUCUUCGGACCUUGCGCGAUUGAAUGAGCCGAUGUCGGAUUAGCUAGUUGGCGGGGUAAAGGCCCACCAAGGCGACGAUCCGUAGCUGGUCUGAGAGGAUGAUCAGCCACACUGGAACUGAGACACGGUCCAGACUCCUACGGGAGGCAGCAGUGGGGAAUAUUGGACAAUGGGCGCAAGCCUGAUCCAGCCAUACCGCGUAGGUGAAGAAGGCCUUCGGGUUGUAAAGCCCUUUUGUUGGGAAAGAAAAGCAGCAGGUUAAUACCCCGCUGUUCUGACGGUACCCAAAGAAUAAGCACCGGCUAACUUCGUG
This 492-nucleotide ribosomal RNA is filed under the name uncultured bacterium. RNAcentral's name for it is "partial 16S ribosomal RNA". It matches the Rfam family "Bacterial small subunit ribosomal RNA", at positions 28 to 507 of the family's 1533-position model. The record is from RNAcentral.